UAACAACGCUAAUAUAUCUCCCUAAUUUCCCCAUCACGCUCCCAAAAUCUUCUUCCCAUUCUGCUUAUGGUCGCACCUCUUAAUUAGGCCUUCCUCUCCAUAUCUUCUUCCUAACCAGAAACAUAGUACAAUCACAAUGAAAUUCAUCUAUGGACCAUAGAGAAGAAACCAAGAGACCUUAUUGAAAAAAUUAGUGGAUGAAUUCUAAAGUCUUUUCCCAAUUGACAAAGGCUAGAAGUUUUGGUUCGUAACAUCUGUGGAAAAUUUUCUUCUCAAAUUUUCAACUUUUGAAAAUUUAGACUCUAAAGAUUGCGUAAUGGGUGUUGGAGAAGUUGUAUUAUCCGUCCAUUGCUCUUUAACAUGUCUAUUUGAGAAUUCAUGCAUAUGAAGUGGCAUUGAUGCCCUGAUUGCAAAUUCUACAUUGAAUGUUUUAGCAAAUGUGAUGAUAUGUGGUGCAGUUCUCUUUCCUUUUUCUUAAUUUUUAAGUAGUGAAAACGAAAGCCCCGUUACAGGAAUUCAGCUUUUAUGGAAUUUCCUUAAAGUUUUCACUAUAAAGUGCAAACAAGAUUCAAGAAAACUGAAUUGCUUUCUUUAGGAGGGGCUCUAUAUGAAGUCUUUUAUGCUUCUAGACCAAAGUACAAAAUGAAGAGAUCCAAAUUAAUGCGUACCAAUUGACUUUCUUUAGGCGAGUCAUGACGGGAUCAAGAUUAUUAAUAUCCAGUAAGGCUGUGAAUUCGCAUGGAGCUUUUAUAUUUAUGUGUGUUUCAUCACUUGGAAUGUGAGGCAAUUUAGAGGAAAACACAUUUAAGAAAAAAAUUUCCCCAUCGGUUUCAGAUGAGUCCUUUUUUCUGGAUAAGAAAACUAUACUGCAGGGAUCAAAAAUCUUAUGAAGUCUGGCUAUCUUUUCAUCUUUACUGAAUGAGGUGGUAACUUCUCUCUUUUUGUAAGUCGUUCUCUUUUUGCUUAUCAGGAGGUGUCUUUAUUUUUUAUUUUUUUAUUUUUUUGGUUUUCCACCCGAUGUCCGGUACCAGCAUUGGAGCCCAACUAUAUCUAGAUUCGCGCCGCACAGGGCCCCAUUUGGGGGGAAGCGCUCCCUAUCAAGGAUUUUUCCAUACCCAGGACUCGAACCCGAGACCUCUGGUUAAGGGAGGAGCAGCCCCAUCCACUGCACCACAUCCUUUGGUGGUAGGAGUUGUCUUGAUUAUUGCUCUUCCAUGGUUGUAUUUAAUGAGUUCACAAGAUAUAGGACUAUGGGAACCCUUCUUGUGCACCAAGCAAAAGGGAAAAUCAGGGAUGUCGUGUUUGUUGAGCUACAAAGGGUUUGGAGUAGUGAGUGUCUCUUCAGGGCUUGGAAUAGUGAGAUCAAUCUAUCACUCUUGCUACUUAUUCCAUUCAAAACUGUGAGGAACAUACCAGUGGAAUUGAAGGCAACAAUUGAAGAAACAAUAUAUAGAAGUUUAUGACUGAUUAGCUAGAGUAUUAUUUAGAUAAGUGGUGAUUGAAUGAUUUUUGUUAGUGUUUUUUUAUCUGCUUGAAAAUUUUGUGUAGGCUUUAUAAGUUAAGAUACUACUCAAUUAAUUGAUAUCUUUCAUACCGCGCGAAGCGUGGUUGAAUUUA
This is a long non-coding RNA of Lycium barbarum (goji berry), 1617 nucleotides long. RefSeq lists it as uncharacterized. The record is from RefSeq and is a predicted model, not a curated record. The transcript has 6 exons. Lineage: Eukaryota; Viridiplantae; Streptophyta; Magnoliopsida; Solanales; Solanaceae.